GGGCGGUUAGCUCAGCUGGUUAGAGCGCCUGCCUUACAAGCAGGAGGUCACUGGUUCGAGUCCAGUAUCGCCCACCA
Molecule: transfer RNA, 77 nt
Filed under: Gemmatimonadota bacterium
Lineage: Bacteria; Pseudomonadati; Gemmatimonadota
Description: Gemmatimonadetes bacterium tRNA-Val
Rfam family: tRNA
About the family: Transfer RNA (tRNA) molecules are approximately 80 nucleotides in length.
Source: RNAcentral